UGAGCUUGAUCCUGGCUCAGGAUGAACGCUAGCGGCAGGCUUAACACAUGCAAGUCGAGGGGUAUGCUUCUUCGGAAGCAGAGACCGGCGCACGGGUGCGUAACGCGUAUGCAAUCUACCUUUUACAGAGGGAUAGCCCAGAGAAAUUUGGAUUAAUACCUCAUAGCAUAGCAGUCUCGCAUGAGAUCACUAUUAAAGUCACAACGGUAAAAGAUGAGCAUGCGUCCCAUUAGCUAGUUGGUAAGGUAACGGCUUACCAAGGCUACGAUGGGUAGGGGUCCUGAGAGGGAGAUCCCCCACACUGGUACUGAGACACGGACCAGACUCCUACGGGAGGCAGCAGUGAGGAAUAUUGGACAAUGGGCGCAAGCCUGAUCCAGCCAUGCCGCGUGCAGGAUGACGGUCCUAUGGAUUGUAAACUGCUUUUAUACGAGAAGAAACACUGCUUCGUGAAGCAGCUGACGG
Molecule: ribosomal RNA, 465 nt
Filed under: Flavobacterium sp. 01WB02.1-39
Lineage: Bacteria; Pseudomonadati; Bacteroidota; Flavobacteriia; Flavobacteriales; Flavobacteriaceae
Description: bacterial SSU rRNA
Rfam family: Bacterial small subunit ribosomal RNA
Source: RNAcentral